CCCGUAAUCCGGGUUGCGGACAGUGUCUGGUGGGUAGUUUGACUGGGGCGGUCUCCUCCUAAAGAGUAACGGAGGAGCACGAAGGUUGGCUAAUCCUGGUCGGACAUCAGGAGGUUAGUGCAAUGGCAUAAGCCAGCUUGACUGCGAGCGUGACGGCGCGAGCAGGUGCGAAAGCAGGUCAUAGUGAUCCGGUGGUUCUGAAUGGAAGGGCCAUCGCUCAACGGAUAAAAGGUACUCCGGGGAUAACAGGCUGAUACCGCCCAAGAGUUCAUAUCGACGGCGGUGUUUGGCACCUCGAUGUCGGCUCAUCACAUCCUGGGGCUGAAGUAGGUCCCAAGGGUAUGGCUGUUCGCCAUUUAAAGUGGUACGCGAGCUGGGUUUAGAACGUCGUGAGACAGUUCGGUCCCUAUCUGCCGUGGGCGCUGGAGAACUGAGGGGGGCUGCUCCUAGUACGAGAGGACCGGAGUGGACGCAUCACUGGUGUUCGGGUUGUCAUGCCAAUGGCACUGCCCGGUAGCUAAAUGCGGAAGAGAUAAGUGCUGAAAGCAUCUAAGCACGAAACUUGCCCCGAGAUGAGUUCUCCCUGAGACUUUA
This 594-nucleotide ribosomal RNA is filed under the name Salmonella enterica subsp. enterica serovar Mikawasima. RNAcentral describes it as "partial 23S ribosomal RNA". It matches the Rfam family "Bacterial large subunit ribosomal RNA", at positions 2232 to 2824 of the family's 2925-position model. Lineage: Bacteria; Pseudomonadati; Pseudomonadota; Gammaproteobacteria; Enterobacterales; Enterobacteriaceae. The record is from RNAcentral.